AACGAACGCUGGCGGCAUGCCUAACACAUGCAAGUCGAACGAGACCUUCGUGUCUAGUGGCGCACGGUUGCGUAACGCGUGGGAACCUGCCAUUAGGUUCGGAAUAACUUCCCGAAAGGGGUGGUAAUACCGGAUAAUGUCUUCGUACCAACGAUUUAUCGCCUUUGGAUGGGCCCGCGUUGGAUUAGCUAGGUGGUAGGGUAAAAGCCUCCCAAGGCGACGAUCCAUAGCUGGUCUGUGAGGAUGAUCAGCCACACUGGGACAGAGCCCCGACCCAGACUCCUACGAGAAGCAGGGGAGGGGGAUCAUGGGGAACGAGCGAGAGCCUGAACCACCGCUGCCGCGUGAGUGAUGAAGGCGUUAGGGUCGUAAAGCAGUUUUAACCGGGCUGAUAAUGACAGUACCGGGAGAAUAAGCACCGGCUAACUCCGUG
Molecule: ribosomal RNA, 433 nt
Filed under: uncultured bacterium
Lineage: Bacteria
Description: partial 16S ribosomal RNA
Rfam family: Bacterial small subunit ribosomal RNA
Source: RNAcentral